This is a long non-coding RNA of Xenopus laevis (African clawed frog), 558 nucleotides long. RefSeq lists it as uncharacterized. The record is from RefSeq and is a predicted model, not a curated record. Lineage: Eukaryota; Metazoa; Chordata; Amphibia; Anura; Pipidae. The transcript has 3 exons.
UGUGGUUUGUUAUGUAAAGGGGACUGAUGAUUUGGUUUCUCAAUUUUGUUGCUUUGAUAAGCCUUUCCAGGAAAUGAAGUGGGUGUAGACAGAAUAUCAGUCUUUUUUUACUGACACUGGAUUUCUGCGUUCCCUGAGUGUGGUGGGUGGCUUGUGGACCUUAGAACAUCUGGAUCAAGAGGGCUAAAUUCACUAUAGGAGAAAUGGGUCAUUCGUAAUAUCUGCAAUUCUUCUGAUGAACUCACAGGAGUAGGAAAAGGGAGGAAAUGCAACUUGAUUCUCUUCCUUGUACUUUUACCCAAGCGAUGCCCACCUCUCCUGGAUACUGUAUGGCGGCUUGGAAACUAUAGGGUUGACCCCACGAGCAGUGUCAAGGUAACUAAGGCCAGGGAGAUGGAUGUCAGCCUUGUGCACGAAUUCAAAGAGAAAGUUGGGACAUUUCAGUAACAAUCCAGGACUGCGGGUUGAGCUGUCAAAAUCAAGACUGUCCUGGGAGAAACUUUGGACAGUUGGGAGGUCCUGUCCACGGAGCUCACAGGUGCCAUCUUCUCCCAAGCG